AUGCUUGCUUCAUCAGCACAUAGACUAAAAUUGGAAUGAUAGAGAAGUUUAGCAUGACCCCUGCACAAUGAUGACACGCAAAUUCAUGAAGCGUUCCAUAAAAAA
This 105-nucleotide small nuclear RNA is filed under the name Sciurus vulgaris (Eurasian red squirrel). Lineage: Eukaryota; Metazoa; Chordata; Mammalia; Rodentia; Sciuridae. The record is from RNAcentral.